AGUCGAACGAGAUUUUCCGUUGUAGCAAUACGAUGGAAAGUCUAGUGGCGAACGGGUGCUUAACACGUGGGCAACCUGCCGAGAAGUGGGGGAUAGCUCGCCGAAAGGCGAAUUAAUACCGCAUGUGAUUGGAGAGGACAUCCUUUCGAAAUCAAAGUCGGGGCAACCUGACGCUUUUUGUGGGGCCCGCGGCCUAUCAGCUAGUUGGUGAGGUAACGGCUCACCAAGGCUUUGACGGGUAGCUGGUCUGAGAGGACGACCAGCCACACUGGGACUGAGACACGGCCCAGACACCUACGGGUGGCAGCAGUCGAGAAUUUUUGACAAUGGGGGAAACCCUGAUCGAGCGACGCCGCGUGGAGGAUGAAGGUCUUCGGAUUGUAAACUCCUGUCAUUGGGGAACAAUGGUUACACGUUAACUGCGCGUGACUUGAUAGUACCCGAAGAGGAAGAGACGGCUAACUCUGUGCCAGCAGCCGCGGUAAUACAGAGGUCUCAAGCGUUGUUCGGAUUCAUUGGGCGUAAAGGGUGCGUAGGCGGCGCGGUAAGUCGGGUGUGAAAUCUCGGAGCUUAACUCCGAAACUGCAUUCGAUACUGCCGUGCUUGAGGACUGGAGAGGAGACUGGAAUUUACGGUGUAGCGGUGAAAUGCGUAGAUAUCGUAAGGAAGACCAGUGGCGAAGGCGGGUCUCUGGACAGUUCCUGACGCUGAGGCACGAAGGUCAGGGGAGCAAACGGGAUUAGAUACCCCGGUAGUCCUGACAGUAAACGGUGCACGUUUGGUGUGGGAGGAUUCGACCC
This 800-nucleotide ribosomal RNA is filed under the name uncultured Verrucomicrobiota bacterium. RNAcentral's name for it is "bacterial SSU rRNA". It matches the Rfam family "Bacterial small subunit ribosomal RNA", at positions 60 to 838 of the family's 1533-position model. The record is from RNAcentral. Lineage: Bacteria; Pseudomonadati; Verrucomicrobiota.